Molecule: long non-coding RNA, 1460 nt
Filed under: Felis catus (domestic cat)
Lineage: Eukaryota; Metazoa; Chordata; Mammalia; Carnivora; Felidae
Description: lncRNA (ENSFCAG00000041032.2)
Source: RNAcentral
CAGUAUAUGCGGUAAAGUCUGAAGGCCAUUUUCAAAUGGGUGACAUUAGAAUCAAGCCUCUUGAAGUAAAGCAAACAGAGAAGGAGUGAACAAAGCUGGUUUUAGAAUGGUAAAUUGUCUCCUAACCUGGAACUUCUUUCUGCCCGUGCAUACCCACAGCAUAUCACACCUGACCCCAAAGAUUCUGCUUUCCCUAGUGAGGCCAGCCUGCCUUAAAACACUGACUGUCCAAGGAACAUAUUGGCCCCUCAGAUGGAUGAGAAGUUCAGGUGAAGAAACUAGGAAACCACAAAGAGCAGUGAUGUUUGCAGGGCUGAAGCACACUGAGGAUUCUUCCCAUCCAGGGACCAAAGUGUCUGAUACGAUGGAUGGACUGGUUUCCUGGAUUGCCAAAGGUUUUCUGUUCCUUCAGAAUAAGACAAUGCAUGAGAUUAUGCAAGUUUUAUAGGGACAGUACAGCCAGAAGAAGAAGGUUGUCUGCUUCCAGUAUGGGUGCCAGUCUCUGGGAGGAGGGCUUGGCAAGUGCAUCAGUACUAAAAACAGAUCUGGGCCAGGGAUGACCUGAAAUGAGUGAUUAAUUAUCUGGCUGUGAUGGCUUUAAGCAAAUCAGCAAUUAUUUGGUGCUUCUCCCUUCAAGAGGUGGAGCUUUACUGUGCUCAACUGGAGUGUGGUUUGGACUUAGUGAAUCACUUCUACAGACGGAACCCAGAGCACUGAUCAUGGUCUAUCACCUAAGAGAUGAAUUUAUAAUUUUGUGGCUCAUGUUUUGGGCUCUCUCUCCAAUCACUGGCUCUCAGGGAGGCAAGCUGCCAUGUUGUGAAUAGCCCAGUGGAGUGACCUGCAGGACAAGGAACUUAGAUAUUCAGCCAACAGAUGGUGAAGAACUGAGGCCUACCUGCAACAACAUGAGUGAGCUUCGUAGCAGGUCCUCCGGCUCCACAUGACUGUAGGUCUGGCCAGAAGCUGGACUAUGACCGCUGAGCAAUCCUGAGCCAGAGCUGUCCAUCUAAGCUGCUCUCAGACCCUAACCCAUAGAAUCUGUGACAUAAUCAAUAUUGUAUUAAGAUGCUAAGAUUGGGAGUAAUUUUUACAUAUCUAUAGACAACUAAUAUACUGACCUAAGUUAUCCAGGAAAGGAAACAUGUAACAGGAACUGAAAGAAGGCAGCAUUUUUUGUAAUGUUGAUUUUUUUCACCUCCUUGAUCGGUUUAGUCUUAUCACAAAGUAUGAACAUUCACUUCCUAGAAGAGGUCCUUUUCAGCCUGCAAUUACAUAAAGACCCCCGGGAGUAUCUUUAUCCAUGCCCCAUACAGAGUUUGAUAUGGGUACAUAAGACACAUUUUCUACUCCAUUUACUCUAUUUAUUGAAAACUCAGAGGCCCAAACCAUACUCAUCUUAGUAAUUAUUUUCCCAUUGUGCCAUUAAUAAAGGAAAAAAGUACUUGCUGGUCUGGGAGAAG